This is a non-coding RNA of Amborella trichopoda, 520 nucleotides long. The record is from RefSeq and is a predicted model, not a curated record. NCBI's taxonomy places the organism in Eukaryota, Viridiplantae, Streptophyta, Magnoliopsida, Amborellales, Amborellaceae.
CUCUAAACUAAGAGCCUUUCUCUCUUUCCACAAGAACAAGCGAUACGCCAUUGCAGCUGACUCCAAUUUUUGACUAGAUUCAUCACAUCUGCAAGGCUAUGGAUGUCUUAUGGCAGCAUACGUGGAGGAUGUCCAAUGAUACCGCAGACAGUUUGGCGAAAGAGGGAGCUAGAAGCCAUAGUCAGGUCACUCAAGCCAGGUCCACAUUCUUUUUUCUGCAAGACCAGUGGAACCUAACCAGUACCUGAACCUUUUGUGUUUAGAUACCCUUUUUGGUUACUAGUCGUUUGUAUCUUUACUGUAAACGGGCACUCUUUUAAGCCUUUUCUUCCUUUUCCUGCAACUUCCUUGUAAACUUUGUAAGGGGGCAUUCAUAUGCCCAUUUUUUGUUACAGGGUCUAUUUGACCUAUUUUUUACCAAGAGUCCCAUCUAGAGGGUACUCCAUCUAGAGGGUACUCUUGGAUCAAUCCCUAACUGUAAUCUUUCUCCAUAUAGCAAUACAAAAGUCUAACUUUUCUA